GGAUUCCCCUAGUAACUGCGAGUGAAGCGGGAAAAGCUCAAAUUUAAAAUCUGGCGGUUUUGGCCGUCCGAGUUGUAGUCUGGAGAAGUGUUUUCCGCGCUGGACCGUGUACAAGUCUCUUGGAACAGAGCGUCAUAGAGGGUGAGAAUCCCGUCUCUGACACGGACUACCAGUGCUUUGUGAUGCGCUCUCGAAGAGUCGAGUUGUUUGGGAAUGCAGCUCAAAAUGGGUGGUAAAUUCCAUCUAAAGCUAAAUAUUGGCGAGAGACCGAUAGCGAACAAGUACCGUGAGGGAAAGAUGAAAAGCACUUUGGAAAGAGAGUUAAACAGUACGUGAAAUUGCUGAAAGGGAAACGCUUGAAGUCAGUCGCGUCGUUUGGAACUCAGCCUUGCUUUUGCUUGGUGCACUUUCUGAACGACGGGCCAGCAUCGAUUUCUAUUGUCGGAAAAGGGUUGGAGGAAUGUGGCACCUUCGGGUGUGUUAUAGCCUUCAGUCACAUACCGCGGUUGGGAUCGAGGACCGCAGCGCGCCGCAAGGCAGGGGUUUCGCCCACUUUCGCGCUUAGGAUGCUGGCGUAAUGGCUUUAAACGACCCGUCUUGAAACACGGACCAAGGAGUCUAACAUGCCUGCGAGUGUUUGGGUGGAAAACCCGAGCGCGUAAUGAAAGUGAAAG
RNAcentral lists this ribosomal RNA (674 nucleotides) under Polyporus melanopus. RNAcentral's name for it is "eukaryotic LSU rRNA". It matches the Rfam family "Eukaryotic large subunit ribosomal RNA", at positions 72 to 731 of the family's 3401-position model. The record is from RNAcentral. Lineage: Eukaryota; Fungi; Basidiomycota; Agaricomycetes; Polyporales; Polyporaceae.